Molecule: ribosomal RNA, 497 nt
Filed under: uncultured bacterium
Lineage: Bacteria
Description: partial 16S ribosomal RNA
Rfam family: Bacterial small subunit ribosomal RNA
Source: RNAcentral
GAUGAACGCUGGCGGCGUGCCUAAUACAUGCAAGUCGAGCGAACGGACGAGAAGCUUGCUUCUCUGAUGUUAGCGGCGGACGGGUGAGUAACACGUGGAUAACCUACCUAUAAGACUGGGAUAACUUCGGGAAACCGGAGCUAAUACCGGAUAAUAUUUUGAACCGCAUGGUUCAAAAGUGAAAGACGGUCUUGCUGUCACUUAUAGAUGGAUCCGCGCUGCAUUAGCUAGUUGGUAAGGUAACGGCUUACCAAGGCAACGAUGCAUAGCCGACCUGAGAGGGGGAUCGGCCACACUGGAACUGAGGCACGGUCCAGACUCCUACGGGAGGCAGCAGUAGGGAAUCUUCCGCAAUGGGCGAAAGCCUGACGGAGCAACGCCGCGUGAGUGAUGAAGGUCUUCGGAUCGUAAAACUCUGUUAUUAGGGAAGAACAUAUGUGUAAGUAACUGUGCACAUCUUGACGGUACCUAAUCAGAAAGCCACGGCUAACUACGUG